Molecule: ribosomal RNA, 263 nt
Filed under: uncultured bacterium
Lineage: Bacteria
Description: partial 16S ribosomal RNA
Rfam family: Bacterial small subunit ribosomal RNA
Source: RNAcentral
GUCCACGCCGUAACGAUGAAUGCCAGCCGUUAGUGGGUUUACUCACUAGUGGCGCAGCUAACGCUUUAAGCAUUCCGCCUGGGGAGUACGGUCGCAAGAUUAAACUCAAAGGAAUUGACGGGGCCCGCACAAGCGGUGGAGCAUGUGGUUUAAUUCGACGCAACGCGAAGAACCUUACCAGCCCUUGACAUCCCGGUCGCGGACUCCAGAGACGGAGUCCUUCAGUUCGGCUGGACCGGAGACAGGUGCUGCAUGGCUGUCGU